UAGUGAGUAGAUGGCAGCCAACUCACAUCUGUCUGCACCUCAGUCUCCACAUCAGUGAUAGAGGAUGUGCGGCAGCUCACUUCGAAGGGCUUGGACUUUCUGCAGUUCUGUGGGUCUGACAAAUCAAAAGUUGCCGCUGUACUUGUGGCCUCCGGCUUGAGGAGACACCAAGAGUCAGGGACAGUGCCAUCACCAGAUUGGAGAGAAGGCUGUGCUGGUGCCACGGGGGUGGGCAUUGGUGGCUCAUCCUCACCCUCUGUACAAUGUAGGAGUUUCACUAGGUGACCUUGCCAGUGUCUUCCAACAGUGUCAUUCCUGGACCCUGCACUCACCUCCCUUGAGGGCUGCAGGUGGCCUAGAGCCCACAUUCCUGGGCUCCAGGUGGGGGGUGACUGCCCCAGUCUGCAGACAUUUCCCACAUUCCUCCCCAAGGUCAGGUGCCUUCCCUGAAUUAAAUGUCACCGCCAACCACAGCCCACACUGAAAGGGAGGAGGAAAAAGGGAGGGAGGGUGGCGGGCAUGCUCAGCUGAUCCUGAGACUGACAGCGAACAGAGGAGGUGGGGGAAGACCAGCCCCAGCUACAUAGGGUCAUCUGCAAAAAGGACAGAACACCAGCCUGUGUUUGCCUUAUCAUGACAACGUGUCUAAUAAAGCCCUGCCCAUCCGGAACGCUGAUGGUCACUGAUGCUUCCUUGUUUGUGUUUGAGCCUUCUCGCCCUUUGGAAAAAAGGGAGUGCAGCCCAGCAUGGUGGGUUACCCCUGUAAUCCCAGCACUUUGGGAGGCCGAGGUGGGUGGAUCACUUGAGGUCAGGAGUUUGAGACCAGCCUGACCAACAUGGUGAAACCCCAUCUCUACUAAAAAUACAAAAUUAGCUGGGCAUGGUGGCACAUGCCUAUAAUCCCAGCUACUUGGGGAGGCUGAGGCAGGAGAAUCAUUUGAACCCGGGAGGCAGAGGUUGCAGUGAGCCAAGGUUGUGCCAUUGCACUCCAGCCUGGGCAACAAGAGUGAAACUCUGUCUCAAAUUAAAAAAAAAAAA
This 1038-nucleotide long non-coding RNA is filed under the name Macaca fascicularis (crab-eating macaque). Its description in RNAcentral is "lncRNA (ENSMFAG00000051653.1)". The record is from RNAcentral. Lineage: Eukaryota; Metazoa; Chordata; Mammalia; Primates; Cercopithecidae.